This 85-nucleotide transfer RNA is filed under the name Lautropia sp. RNAcentral's name for it is "tRNA-Leu". It matches the Rfam family "tRNA". Rfam says of the family: Transfer RNA (tRNA) molecules are approximately 80 nucleotides in length. Their secondary structure includes four short double-helical elements and three loops (D, anti-codon, and T loops). The record is from RNAcentral. Lineage: Bacteria; Pseudomonadati; Pseudomonadota; Betaproteobacteria; Burkholderiales; Burkholderiaceae.
GCGGCUGUGGCGAAAUUGGUAGACGCACCAGAUUUAGGUUCUGGCGCCGGAAGGUGUGAAGGUUCGAGUCCUUUCAGCCGCACCA